Molecule: ribosomal RNA, 253 nt
Filed under: uncultured bacterium
Lineage: Bacteria
Description: partial 16S ribosomal RNA
Rfam family: Bacterial small subunit ribosomal RNA
Source: RNAcentral
UACGGAGGAUGCAAGCGUUAUCCGGAAUGAUUGGGCGUAAAGCGUCCGCAGGUGGUUAUACAAGUCUGCUGUCAAAGCGCAAGGCUCAACCUUGUAAAGGCAGUGGAAACUGUGUGACUAGAGAGUGAUAGGGGCAGAGGGAAUUCCCAGUGUAGCGGUGAAAUGCGUAGAGAUUGGGAAGAACACCGGUGGCGAAAGCGCUCUGCUGGGGUCAUAUCUGACACUGAGGGACGAAAGCUAGGGAGCGAAAGGG